Molecule: ribosomal RNA, 440 nt
Filed under: uncultured bacterium
Lineage: Bacteria
Description: bacterial SSU rRNA
Rfam family: Bacterial small subunit ribosomal RNA
Source: RNAcentral
CCUACGGGUGGCACCAGUGGGGAAUAUUGGACAAUGGGCGAAAGCCUGAUCCAGCAAUGCCGCGUGUGUGAAGAAGGUCUUCGGAUUGUAAAGCACUUUCGACGGGGACGAUGAUGACGGUACCCGUAGAAGAAGCCCCGGCUAACUUCGUGCCAGCAGCCGCGGUAAUACGAAGGGGGCUAGCGUUGCUCGGAAUGACUGGGCGUAAAGGGCGCGUAGGCGGUUUAUGCAGUCAGAUGAGAAAUCCCCGGGCUUAACCUGGGAACUGCAUUUGAGACGCAUAGAAUAGAGGUAGAGAGAGGGUUGUGGAAUUCCCAGUGUAGAGGUGCAAUUCGUAGAUAUUGGGAAGAACACCGGUGGCGAAGGCGGCAACCUGGCUCGAUACUGACUCCGAGGCGCGAAAGCGUGGGGAGCAAACAGGAUUAGAUACCCCGGUAGUC